RNAcentral lists this long non-coding RNA (344 nucleotides) under Sus scrofa (pig). RNAcentral describes it as "lncRNA (ENSSSCG00050013531.1)". The record is from RNAcentral. Lineage: Eukaryota; Metazoa; Chordata; Mammalia; Artiodactyla; Suidae.
AAAACUUUGGCUAAUAGCAUAAGCAAAGUACCACUUCUAAUCUGACUUCUAUUUUUGUAGGUGCUAGGCAGAGUUAGCUGAAAGGUGAAGAGGUGAACUUGUCUGACAUGUCUGGACCAGCCUUUUUAGUGGGUACCCGGUAUUAUCUGUGGAUGGCUUGUUUGGGGUGCAGAUUUUGAGGACCUUUUGUAUAAAGGUGUGAAGAGGCCUUGGCUACAAGGCAUUUAUGAGCAGCAGUCAAUGCAACUUAACCAAUUGACAGGUAGCUGGAUGGAUGCUUGUGGGAUGGAUAGAAGAAAAGUAAACAACUUUGUAUUUUAAUAAAUGUUUUUUACUUAAAAGCC